This 465-nucleotide ribosomal RNA is filed under the name uncultured bacterium. RNAcentral describes it as "partial 16S ribosomal RNA". It matches the Rfam family "Bacterial small subunit ribosomal RNA", at positions 338 to 795 of the family's 1533-position model. The record is from RNAcentral.
CCUACGGGUGGCAGCAGUAGGGAAUCUCCCACAAUGGACGAAAGUCUGAUGGAGCAACGCCGCGUGAGUGAAGAAGGGUUUCGGCUCGUAAAGCUCUGUUGGUAGUGAAGAAAGAUAGAGGUAGUAACUGGCCUGUAUUUGACGGUAAUUACUUAGAAAGUCACGGCUAACUACGUGCCAGCAGCCUCGGUAAUACGAAGGUGGCAAGCGUUGUCCGGAUUUAUUGGGCGUAAAGCGUGUGCAGGCGGUUCAAUAAGUCUGAUGUGAAAGCCUUCGGCUCAAACGGCGAAUUGCAGCAGAAACUGAUGAACUUGAGUGCAGAAGAGGAGAGUGGAACUCCAGGUGUAGCGGUGGAAUGCGUAGAUAUAAGGAAGAACACCAGUGGCGAAGGCGGCACUCUGGUCUGCAACUGACGCUGAGGCUCGAAAGCAUGGGUAGCGAACAGGAUUAGAUACCCCGGUAGUC